RNAcentral lists this ribosomal RNA (500 nucleotides) under uncultured bacterium. RNAcentral describes it as "partial 16S ribosomal RNA". It matches the Rfam family "Bacterial small subunit ribosomal RNA", at positions 30 to 523 of the family's 1533-position model. The record is from RNAcentral.
AUUGAACGCUGGCGGCAGGCCUAACACAUGCAAGUCGAGCGGAUGAUGGAAGCUUGCUUCCUGAUUCAGCGGCGGACGGGUGAGUAAUGCCUAGGAAUCUGCCUAUUAGUGGGGGACAACGUUUCGAAAGGAACGCUAAUACCGCAUACGUCCUACGGGAGAAAGUGGGGGCUCUUCGGACCUCACGCUAAUAGAUGAGCCUAGGUCGGAUUAGCUAGUUGGUGAGGUAAUGGCUCACCAAGGCAACGAUCCGUAGCUGGUCUGAGAGGAUGAUCAGCCACACUGGAACUGAGACACGUUCCAGACUCCUACGGGAGGCAGCAGUGGGGAAUAUUGGACAAUGGGCGAAAGCCUGAUCCAGCCAUGCCGCGUGUGUGAAGAAGGUCUUCGGAUUGUAAAGCACUUUAAGUUGGGAGGAAGGAUUGUUAGCUAAUAUCUAGCAGUUUUGACGUUACCAACAGAAUAAGCACCGGCUAACUCUGUGCCAGCCGCCGCCGUAA